RNAcentral lists this ribosomal RNA (493 nucleotides) under uncultured bacterium. RNAcentral's name for it is "partial 16S ribosomal RNA". It matches the Rfam family "Bacterial small subunit ribosomal RNA", at positions 27 to 507 of the family's 1533-position model. The record is from RNAcentral.
GAGUGAACGCUGGCGGUAGGCCUAACCCAUGCAAGUCGAACGGCAGCACAGUAAGAGCUUGCUCUUACGGGUGGCGAGUGGCGGACGGGUGAGGAAUACAUCGGAAUCUACUUUUUCGUGGGGGAUAACGUAGGGAAACUUACGCUAAUACCGCAUACGACCUACGGGUGAAAGCAGGGGAUCUUCGGACCUUGCGCGAUUGAAUGAGCCGAUGUCGGAUUAGCUAGUUGGCGGGGUAAAGGCCCACCAAGGCGACGAUCCGUAGCUGGUCUGAGAGGAUGAUCAGCCACACUGGAACUGAGGCACGGUCCAGACUCCUACGGGAGGCAGCAGUGGGGAAUAUUGGACAAUGGGCGCAAGCCUGAUCCAGCCAUACCGCGUGGGUGAAGAAGGCCUUCGGGUUGUAAAGCCCUUUUGUUGGGAAAGAAAAGCAGCAGGUUAAUACCCCGCUGUUCUGACGGUACCCAAAGAAUAAGCACCGGCUAACUUCGUG